UUUUUUUUUUUCAAAUUAUUCCGCAGACGAACGCUGGCGGCGUGCCUAAUACAUGCAAGUCGUACGCUUCUUUUUCCACCGGAGCUUGCUCCACCGGAAAAAGAAGAGUGGCGAACGGGUGAGUAACACGUGGGUAACCUGCCCAUCAGAAGGGGAUAACACUUGGAAACAGGUGCUAAUACCGUAUAACAAUCGAAACCGCAUGGUUUUGAUUUGAAAGGCGCUUUCGGGUGUCGCUGAUGGAUGGACCCGCGGUGCAUUAGCUAGUUGGUGAGGUAACGGCUCACCAAGGCCACGAUGCAUAGCCGACCUGAGAGGGUGAUCGGCCACAUUGGGACUGAGACACGGCCCAAACUCCUACGGGAGGCAGCAGUAGGGAAUCUUCGGCAAUGGACGAAAGUCUGACCGAGCAACGCCGCGUGAGUGAAGAAGGUUUUCGGAUCGUAAAACUCUGUUGUUAGAGAAGAACAAGGAUGAGAGUAACUGUUCAUCCCUUGACGGUAUCUAACCAGAAAGCCACGGCUAACUACGUGCCAGCAGCCGCGGUAAUACGUAGGUGGCAAGCGUUGUCCGGAUUUAUUGGGCGUAAAGCGAGCGCAGGCGGUUUCUUAAGUCUGAUGUGAAAGCCCCCGGCUCAACCGGGGAGGGUCAUUGGAAACUGGGAGACUUGAGUGCAGAAGAGGAGAGUGGAAUUCCAUGUGUAGCGGUGAAAUGCGUAGAUAUAUGGAGGAACACCAGUGGCGAAGGCGGCUCUCUGGUCUGUAACUGACGCUGAGGCUCGAAAGCGUGGGGAGCAAACAGGAUUAGAUACCCUGGUAGUCCACGCCGUAAACGAUGAGUGCUAAGUGUUGGAGGGUUUCCGCCCUUCAGUGCUGCAGCUAACGCAUAAGCACUCCGUCCUGGUAG
RNAcentral lists this ribosomal RNA (906 nucleotides) under Enterococcus faecium. RNAcentral describes it as "bacterial SSU rRNA". It matches the Rfam family "Bacterial small subunit ribosomal RNA", at positions 1 to 880 of the family's 1533-position model. The record is from RNAcentral. Lineage: Bacteria; Bacillati; Bacillota; Bacilli; Lactobacillales; Enterococcaceae.